GCCAGUCAUGGUGGUGUAUGCCUGUAAUCCUACUGCUUUAGAGGCUGAGGCAGGAGGAUUGCAAGUUUGAGGUCAGCCUCAGCAACUUAUCAAGGUCCUAAGUGACUCAGCAAGAUCCUGCCUCUA
RNAcentral lists this small RNA (126 nucleotides) under Marmota monax (woodchuck). Lineage: Eukaryota; Metazoa; Chordata; Mammalia; Rodentia; Sciuridae. The record is from RNAcentral.